UUCAGAUGCCAUUACUUCAGAUCCAGCUUCCGCAUUCACUCAUCUCACCCACCUCUCUGAACUAACAUUCACUACCUUUAAUUUUUCUUUUCCCAGCCUUUAUAUCAAACACCAGUGGUUCAGUUCAUCAUAAUCUUACGCGUGAAAAAAUCUUUUGAGAGAAGAACCCAGCCCAGCGAAGACCCAGCACCACCGACAAGCCCAUCUCUCACCGGCACUGAAAUCGGUCAGUUCAUCAGCUCUGAACUCUACCCAUCUCUCACCGGUGCUGAAAUCGGCACACAUUUUACAGUCCAAGCCUAAAAUUUAUGGGAUCUUGGCCCAGUGAGCCCAGUACAAUAAAUUGAUAGAGAGUGGGUUGAAGAACUAGACCCUAAUGAAUUGGACAACGGCUAGUUGUCCUUCUACCCCCUACCGACCUCGAAUUAAAAGCCCUUCCAAAUCUAAAGAAGAAGAGGCCAGUUGAGGAUCUUAAGGAAGGAGAGGAGGCCCCUCAGAAGGGCGCUAAACAA
Long non-coding RNA from Quercus lobata, 512 nucleotides. RefSeq lists it as uncharacterized. The record is from RefSeq and is a predicted model, not a curated record. The transcript is spliced from 2 exons. NCBI's taxonomy places the organism in Eukaryota, Viridiplantae, Streptophyta, Magnoliopsida, Fagales, Fagaceae.